This 325-nucleotide ribosomal RNA is filed under the name Clostridioides difficile. RNAcentral's name for it is "bacterial SSU rRNA". It matches the Rfam family "Bacterial small subunit ribosomal RNA", at positions 257 to 599 of the family's 1533-position model. The record is from RNAcentral. Lineage: Bacteria; Bacillati; Bacillota; Clostridia; Peptostreptococcales; Peptostreptococcaceae.
GUAACGGCUUACCAAGGCGACGAUCAGUAGCCGACCUGGGAGGGUGAUCGGCCACAUUGGAACUGAGACACGGUCCAAACUCCUACGGGAGGCAGCAGUGGGGAAUAUUGCACAAUGGGCGAAAGCCUGAUGCAGCAACGCCGCGGGAGUGAUGAAGGCCUUCGGGUCGUAAAACGCUGUCCUCAAGGAAGAUAAUGCCGGUACUUGAGGAGGAAGCCCCGGCUAACUACGUGCCAGCAGCCGCGGUAAUACGUAGGGGGCUAGCGUUAUCCGGAUUUACUGGGCGUAAAGGGUGCGUAGGCGGUCUUUCAAGUCAGGAGUGAAA